This 301-nucleotide ribosomal RNA is filed under the name uncultured bacterium. RNAcentral's name for it is "partial 16S ribosomal RNA". It matches the Rfam family "Bacterial small subunit ribosomal RNA", at positions 509 to 807 of the family's 1533-position model. The record is from RNAcentral.
CAGCCGCCGCGGUAAUACGUAGGUGGCAAGCGUUGUCCGGAAUUAUUGGGCGUAAAGGGCUCGCAGGCGGUCUCUUAAGUCUGAUGUGAAAGCCCCCGGCUCAACCGGGGAGGGUCAUUGGAAACUGGGAAACUUGAGUGCAGAAGAGGAGAGUGGAAUUCCACGUGUAGCGGUGAAAUGCGUAGAGAUGUGGAGGAACACCAGUGGCGAAGGCGACUCUCUGGUCUGUAACUGACGCUGAGGAGCGAAAGCGUGGGGAGCGAACAGGAUUAGAUACCCCCGUAGUCCCUGUCUCUUAUAC